AACUGAUACUACCUGCGGGAACCUGCGGAAGGAUCAUUACCGAGUUUACAACUCCCAAACCCCAUGUGAACAUACCUGUUUCGUUCCCUCGGCGGUGUCCGGCAACGGCCCGCCAGAGGACCCAACAAACUCUUUUGAAUUUUUCAGUAUCUUCUGAGUGAAAAAAACAAUAAAUCAAAACUUUUAACAAUGGAUCUCU
Molecule: unclassified non-coding RNA, 199 nt
Filed under: soil metagenome
Description: partial contains 5.8S ribosomal RNA, internal transcribed spacer 2, and large subunit ribosomal RNA
Source: RNAcentral